UACGUAGGGUGCGAGCGUUAAUCGGAAUUACUGGGCGUAAAGCGUGCGCAGGCGGUUUUGUAAGCCAGAUGUGAAAUCCCCGGGCUUAACCUGGGAAUGGCAUUUGGGACUGCAAGGCUGGAGUGUGGCAGAGGAGACUGGAAUUCCUGGUGUAGCAGUGAAAUGCGUAGAGAUGCGGAGGAACACCGAUGGCGAAGGCAGCCCCCUGGGCUAACACUGACGCUGAGGCACGAAAGCGUGGGGAGCAAACAGG
RNAcentral lists this ribosomal RNA (253 nucleotides) under uncultured prokaryote. RNAcentral describes it as "partial 16S ribosomal RNA". It matches the Rfam family "Bacterial small subunit ribosomal RNA", at positions 524 to 776 of the family's 1533-position model. The record is from RNAcentral.